This 440-nucleotide ribosomal RNA is filed under the name uncultured bacterium. RNAcentral describes it as "partial 16S ribosomal RNA". It matches the Rfam family "Bacterial small subunit ribosomal RNA", at positions 338 to 795 of the family's 1533-position model. The record is from RNAcentral.
CCUACGGGAGGCAGCAGUGGGGAAUAUUGCACAAUGGGGGAAACCCUGAUGCAGCGACGCCGCGUGAGCGAUGAAGUAUUUCGGUAUGUAAAGCUCUAUCAGCAGGGAAGAAAAUGACGGUACCUGACUAAGAAGCCCCGGCUAACUACGUGCCAGCAGCCGCGGUAAUACGUAGGGGGCAAGCGUUAUCCGGAUUUACUGGGUGGAAAGGGAGCGUAGACGGUCCUGCAAGCCAGAUGUGAAAGCCCGGGGCUCAACCCCGGGACUGCAUGUGGAACUGUAAGGCUAGAGUGUCGGAGAGGCAGGCGGAAUUCCUAGUGUAGCGGUGAAAUGCGUAGAUAUUAGGAGGAACACCAGUGGCGAAGGCGGCCUGCUGGACGAUGACUGACGUUGAGGCUCGAAAGCGUGGGGAGCAAACAGGAUUAGAUACCCUUGUAGUC